Molecule: long non-coding RNA, 264 nt
Filed under: Nicotiana benthamiana
Lineage: Eukaryota; Viridiplantae; Streptophyta; Magnoliopsida; Solanales; Solanaceae
Description: long non-coding RNA (NBEN_LNC029336)
Source: RNAcentral
UAUUUAUAUUUCUAAAUUUAGCAAAUUUAGAAAGUUCCCUUUUCGACAUCAUUAUUUGAAGAAAAUUUGAUAGUUAAAGAUCACUUUUGAUCAUCUUAGGAAAGAAAAAAGAUAAGUCUUUCUUUUUUAAUUGAAUCAUCAACGAUUUCAAUGAUCUAAAAUAGAUAAAUACACCAAACAACAAAUCCAAUUUUUUUUAUGAGAUGGAUAAAAAAAGAUUAAUAUAAGGUAAGAUUUUAAUUCUUAUUCUUUUUUUUUCAUCUG